RNAcentral lists this long non-coding RNA (372 nucleotides) under Capsella rubella. RNAcentral's name for it is "long non-coding RNA (CRUB_LNC002786)". The record is from RNAcentral. Lineage: Eukaryota; Viridiplantae; Streptophyta; Magnoliopsida; Brassicales; Brassicaceae.
UGGACUUGCUCAAUUCACAAUAGCGCAAUCGCGUUUGAAAGGACUUUACGUACUCUACAUCCUCUUAUCUCCGCACCAUAAACAUGAGAACACAAUCCUAACUACCUUUCCUUUUCCUCCUCUCAAAUUUUAAGGUUUUGACUAGUCAUUAGAUCUUUAUAUUAUUACUCAAGCCGUUAAUUAAGUUAAGCGUAAGAGAGCAUUACAAAAAAAAAAAAAAAACCUUAUAUACAUAUAUAUUCUUGAAGGUCAUAUCAGUGGCAUUGCCAUUGUUUCAGAAUCCGACUUGCCAUCAUGUCGAAGGCGUGCACAUCCCCUUAAAAGAAAAACCUGUCCAAAAGAAUCCACCCCUUGUUAGUCAAAAUCGCAUCC